Long non-coding RNA from Daphnia pulex (common water flea), 1692 nucleotides. RefSeq lists it as uncharacterized. The record is from RefSeq and is a predicted model, not a curated record. The transcript has 3 exons. Lineage: Eukaryota; Metazoa; Arthropoda; Branchiopoda; Diplostraca; Daphniidae.
UUUGGGCUAAUUAGAAGAUUAAUGUCGUCUGCUUCGUUUUGUUCUAGUUCAAAAAGAGUUCGAGUUCGUUUAAGUGAGUAAAGUUCCGAAAAAGAGACAAAGUGACGGACGAGACAAGAAAACAGAACGAACACUUUUCUGGAAACGUUCGUGGCAGCAGAACAAAUAAAAUUUCAAAACUCUGGUCGUCGUGUGAACUCUGGUGUCGCAGAUCUCCUUGAUCUCUACCCAAUGCUGUUUAUAGCAGCAAACAGCAAGCAUUGUUUGAUUGGAAAAACUCUGUCCUUGUGUACACCCAUGUGAGUGUGGGAGUAUUCACGAGGGCGCCGUUUUCCCGCCAUUAAACUUUUUUCUACGCAUGAAGCACCUGUGGAUGCCUGGCUGUAUUUCCCGGGCUUAAAGAUUGUGUGGAAUGGACAUUGCCAAAUUGGGGAGUCGGUAGGCAGAGUGUAGUUCGCAUUCUUCUCGCUCGAUGUCCUCGUUGCUUACAAUGAAAAGUUCGUCUGCUGCGUCUCCUCGUUGAUGGUCACGCCUAUUGCACUCCGGAGUCCGGAGCGCUCUAGUGUCAAAAGUGGCUAUUGCACUCCGGAGUCCGGAGUCCUCUAGCGUCAAAAGUGGCUAUUGCACUCCGGAAAGGAAAUAUGAAGUCAAAUAUGAAGUCAUUUAUGGCGACGAAUGGCAAAUAACGACUGAUUCUGUGUUUUUACUGGUUUUGAAUUCAUUAAAAAUUAAAUUAAGGGUAAGAAAUAAAUUUGCAAUAUAUUUAUAACAAUCAAAUAUAUUUGAAUUUCAUUAAUAAACACAAAUAGCCAUUAGCCAGUAUAAAAGAUGGGACUUAGUAUUGUUAACUUAGCUAGAGUCGGAGAGUCCACCAUUGAAUCAGUACCUUAGAUUCAAAUUGCAAAUAAACAGGAAUAAAGUAGAAUGUAUAAACAUAUCAAUUCAGGGUGAUGUUUCUUGAUAAACAUUUCAACUUCUUGCUCUAUUCUCCUCGGCGUUUGAACCCAAAGCAACCCAUCAUCAAAGGACGAGGCGCUUCCAUAUUCCGCUCUUAAAGGAUCUUUGAUUGACGCCGCCAUAUGUGCCAAUUCUUUCCCCUCUUAAAUCAAUUACUUUUUCAUUGUCAGUUCAUUCAUGUGAUGACAAAGCACCGAGUGAAACUGAACACGAAAAUACCAAGUAUUUUUUCGCACUCACAAUUCAGUUAAAAUGUCUUUUGAUAUUCUCACUAUAAUAAAGGAAACUGCAUGUUAACUUAGUUAUGUAUUGUUUUGUUUCAAGAUAUGAAAGACGUGUCUAGCUGUUAGUUUAUUGGAAUAAGGGACACGGACAUUGCAUGGUUUAUAGCGUGAAAUCAGCUGAAUCACACGUUACGUGUCAAUCAGCAGAAAUAGUGAGUUGCUGGUCAAUGCGUUUCAAGGUCACAAAGAACCCCUCGAAGCCCCGUUCUGAGAAUUCCGGCUCGACCUUCAGGCAAGUAUGGGGGUGUCAGAGGGUGACUCACUAUGUCGUGUGUUUAUAGCGUGUUUAACAACCUGUCUAAAUCCUUACUUUGAAUAUAAUGAUCUCUGUGUAAUAUAAACUGCAAUGAAAUACAGAAAUACCUGAUUUCCAAUCCUUUUGGUGAUAUUGAUAUCGAGGCUUAUGAAGAAUUUUGUGUGAGUAGGAAUUGUGGUAACACCUUAGCAAAUA